GUGGGGAAUCUUAGACAAUGGGCGCAAGCCUGAUCUAGCCAUGCCGCGUGAUCGAUGAAGGCCUUAGGGUUGUAAAGAUCUUUCAGUGGGGAAGAUAAUGACUGUACCCACAGAAGAAGCCCCGGCUAACUCCGUGCCAGCAGCCGCGGUAAUACGGAGGGGGCUAGCGUUGUUCGGAAUUACUGGGCGUAAAGCGCACGUAGGCGGAACAGAAAGUCAGAGGUGAAAUCCCAGGGCUCAACCUUGGAACUGCCUUUGAAACUCCUGUUCUUGAGUUCGAGAGAGGUGAGUGGAAGUCCGAGUGUAGAGGUGAAAUUCGUAGAUAUUCGGAGGAACACCAGUGGCGAAGGCGGCUCACUGGCUCGAUACUGACGCUGAGGUGCGAAAGCGUGGGGAGCAAACAGGAUUAGAUACCCGGGUAGUCC
This 425-nucleotide ribosomal RNA is filed under the name uncultured bacterium. RNAcentral describes it as "bacterial SSU rRNA". It matches the Rfam family "Bacterial small subunit ribosomal RNA", at positions 354 to 796 of the family's 1533-position model. The record is from RNAcentral.